Molecule: ribosomal RNA, 392 nt
Filed under: uncultured bacterium
Lineage: Bacteria
Description: bacterial SSU rRNA
Rfam family: Bacterial small subunit ribosomal RNA
Source: RNAcentral
GACGAACGCUGGCGGCGUGCUUAACACAUGCAAGUCGAGCGGUAAGGCCCUUUCGGGGGUACGACGAGCGGCGAACGGGUGAGUAACACGUGGGUGACCUGCCCUCAGCUCUGGGAUAAGCCCGGGAAACUGGGUCUAAUACUGGAUAUGACUCCAUGACGCAUGUUGUGGGGUGGAAAGCCUUGUGCGGCUGAGGAUGGGCCCGCGGCCUAUCAGCUUGUUGGUGGGGNGAUGGCCUACCAAGGCGACGACGGGUAGCCGGCCUGAGAGGGCGACCGGCCACACUGGGACUGAGACACGGCCCAGACUCCUACGGGAGGCAGCAGUGGGGAAUCUUGCGCAAUGGGCGAAAGCCUGACGCAGCGACGCCGCGUGAGGGAUGACGGCCUGGU